Molecule: ribosomal RNA, 480 nt
Filed under: uncultured bacterium
Lineage: Bacteria
Description: bacterial SSU rRNA
Rfam family: Bacterial small subunit ribosomal RNA
Source: RNAcentral
AGCGAAACGCUGGCGGCAUGCUUUAACACAUGCAAGUCGCACGGGCAGGGGUAACUCCGUCAGUGGCGGACGGGUGAGGAACGCGUAGGUAUCUAUCGUUGGGUGGGGGACGACCGCGGGAAAACUGCGGCUAAUACCGCAUGACGACCUUUGUUGGAAGAUGAGGGUCCAAAGCUCGCAAGAGCGCCUGAUGAGGAGCCUGCGUCCGAUUAGCUAGUUGGUGGGGUAACGGCCUACCAAAGGCUACGAUCGGUAGCUGGUCUGAGAGGAUGAUCAGCCACACUGGGACUGAGACACGGCCCAGACUCCUACGGGAGGCAGCAGUGGGGAAUAUUGGACAAUGGGCGCAAGCCUGAUCCAGCAAAUGCCGCGUGUGUGAAGAAAGGUCCUCGGAUUGUAAAAGCACUUUCGGCGGGGACGAUGAUGACGGUACCCGCAGAAGAAGCCCCGGCUAACUUCGUGCCAAGCCGCCGCAGUAAG